Phrynosoma platyrhinos (Desert horned lizard) is the source of this 72-nucleotide non-coding RNA. The record is from the annotation of a GenBank genome assembly. Lineage: Eukaryota; Metazoa; Chordata; Lepidosauria; Squamata; Phrynosomatidae.
GCCAGUAUGUUGUAGUGGUUUAAGUGUUGGACUACAACUCUGGAUACCAGGGUUCAAAUCUCUGCUCUGCCA